CCCCGGAGCGCGCCUGCGUGGGGCGGGGGCGGGGGCGGCAGCCGACUAGGGGCUGGGUCUGGCCGUUUAGGGCCGGGUCUUGGCCCGUCGCCCACGGUGCGGAGGGCUGGUGGGCUUUCGUUGGCCGUCGGGCCCGCCACGGCGCGGGUCUUGGCUGCGGGGCGGAGGUGGUGCGGGAGAGCCGAGGAUAAGAGUUUGAGGCUUUUCGAGGCGCGUGCCGCGGCGUCCGCCUCUGCGGGACUCUGCGCCGGGCGCCCUCGGCCGGCGCGCCCGGCUCCCGCUUUGUCGCCGAGGGAAGCACGCGCGACGCCCCUCCCGUCGCCGCCGUGGCUUCUUUCGGUGUUCGUGAUCUGAGAGGCUGGAAAGCAGCACGGCGGAGAGGAGCCUUGCACUCGCCAGGCGGGAAGCCUGCGCGGACACGCGUGCGCACCCACGGGGCGGCGGGCGGGCGUGGGGGGUCCGGGCCACGCGGGCGACGCGCCUCUAGGGAAGCGAUCUUGUUGCACCUUCCCGUUAUUCUGAAAGCAAAUCGUAGCCAGACCCGAGCGCAGCGGCUUAGCAAAUAAUAAGGGGAGCGUCAGUCGUGCUCGAAAUGCUUCCUUCGCGAUGGCGUCAGUGUUCCGUGAGGGAAUGAAGCCGCAGUAGGAAAUAAAGAGCCUGUGCGCGUAGUCUGAAAAGCAGAAGUCAACAUUUUUACAGAUGAAGAAAGAAUACGGAGGCAAGAGGUCUUUCUCUGCAGUUUGGUGGAUUUCCAACAUUUAGACUUGUUUGGAAGAAUUUCCUCAGCUGCACCAAUGAAGUCCUUGAUCUAUAGAAGUCGGCAGUCCCUAAAUCUACGUCUGCAUUUUGUUGCAAAUCCUUUAUAACAUUCCAUUAAAAUAAUGCAAAGUUAUUUAAUA
This 899-nucleotide long non-coding RNA is filed under the name Pan troglodytes (chimpanzee). RNAcentral describes it as "lincRNA". The record is from RNAcentral. Lineage: Eukaryota; Metazoa; Chordata; Mammalia; Primates; Hominidae.